GACGAACGCUGGCGGCGUGCUUAACACAUGCAAGUCGAACGGAAAGGCCCUUCGGGGUACUCGAGUGGCGAACGGGUGAGUAACACGUGGGUGAUCUGCCCCGCACUUUGGGAUAAGCCUGGGAAACUGGGUCUAAUACCGAAUAGGACCGCGCGCUUCAUGGUGUGUGGUGGAAAGCUUUUGCGGUGUGGGAUGGGCCCGCGGCCUAUCAGCUUGUUGGUGGGGUAAUGGCCUACCAAGGCGACGACGGGUAGCCGGCCUGAGAGGGUGACCGGCCACACUGGGACUGAGAUACGGCCCAGACUCCUACGGGAGGCAGCAGUGGGGAAUAUUGCACAAUGGGCGCAAGCCUGAUGCAGCGACGCCGCGUGAGGGAUGACGGCCUUCGGGUUGUAAACCUCUUCCACCAGGGACGAAGCGCAAGUGACGGUACCUGGAGAAGAAGCACCGGCCAACUACGUG
RNAcentral lists this ribosomal RNA (462 nucleotides) under uncultured bacterium. Its description in RNAcentral is "partial 16S ribosomal RNA". It matches the Rfam family "Bacterial small subunit ribosomal RNA", at positions 28 to 507 of the family's 1533-position model. The record is from RNAcentral.